GUAUAAGAGACAGCAGCAGCCGCGGUAAUACAGAGGGUGCGAGCGUUAAUCGGAUUUACUGGGCGUAAAGCGUGCGUAGGCGGCUUUUUAAGUCGGAUGUGAAAUCCCUGAGCUUAACUUAGGAAUUGCAUUCGAUACUGGGAAGCUAGAGUAUGGGAGAGGAUGGUAGAAUUCCAGGUGUAGCGGUGAAAUGCGUAGAGAUCUGGAGGAAUACCGAUGGCGAAGGCAGCCAUCUGGCCUAAUACUGACGCUGAGGUACGAAAGCAUGGGGAGCAAACAGGAUUAGAUACCCCAGUAGUCCCUGUCUCUUAUAC
RNAcentral lists this ribosomal RNA (314 nucleotides) under uncultured bacterium. Its description in RNAcentral is "partial 16S ribosomal RNA". It matches the Rfam family "Bacterial small subunit ribosomal RNA", at positions 495 to 807 of the family's 1533-position model. The record is from RNAcentral.